UGGCUCAGAUUGAACGCUGGCGCAGGCUUAACACAUGCAAGUCGAGCGGAGAGAGAUAGCUUGCUACUGAUCUUAGCGGCGGACGGGUGAGUAAUACUUAGGAAUCUGGCUAUUAGUGGGGGACAACAUUUCGAAAGGGAUGCUAAUACCGCAUACGUCCUACGGGAGAAAGCAGGGGAUCUUCGGACCUUGCGCUAAUAGAUGAGCCUAAGUCGGAUUAGCUAGUUGGUGGGGUAAAGGCCUACCAAGGCGACGAUCUGUAGCGGGUCUGAGAGGAUGAUCCGCCACACUGGGACUGAGACACGGCCCAGACUCCUACGGGAGGCAGCAGUGGGGAAUAUUGGACAAUGGGGGGAACCCUGAUCCAGCCAUGCCGCGUGUGUGAAGAAGGCCUUAUGGUUGUAAAGCACUUUAAGCGAGGAGGAGGGUACUGGUAUUAAUACUACCAGGUACUGGACGUUACUCGCAGAAUAAGCACCGGCUAACUCUGUGCCAGCAGCCGCGGUAAUACAGAGGGUGCGAGCGUUAAUCGGAUUUACUGGGCGUAAAGCGUGCGUAGGCGGCUAAUUGAGUCGGAUGUGAAAUCCCCGAGCUUAACUUGGGAAUUGCAUUCGAUACUGGUUAGCUAGAGUGUGGGAGAGGAUGGUAGAAUUCCAGGUGUAGCGGUGAAAUGCGUAGAGAUCUGGAGGAAUACCGAUGGCGAAGGCAGCCAUCUGGCCUAACACUGACGAUGAGGUACGAAAGCAUGGGGAGCAAACAGGAUUAGAUACCCUGGUAGUCCAUGCCGUAAACGAUGUCUACUAACCGUUGGUCUCUUUGAGGGAUUA
This 827-nucleotide ribosomal RNA is filed under the name Acinetobacter sp. L-22. RNAcentral's name for it is "bacterial SSU rRNA". It matches the Rfam family "Bacterial small subunit ribosomal RNA", at positions 20 to 842 of the family's 1533-position model. The record is from RNAcentral. Lineage: Bacteria; Pseudomonadati; Pseudomonadota; Gammaproteobacteria; Moraxellales; Moraxellaceae.